AUUGAACGCUGGCGGCAUGCCUUACACAUGCAAGUCGAACGGCAGCACGGGUGCUUGCACCUGGUGGCGAGUGGCGAACGGGUGAGUAAUACAUCGGAACAUGUCCUGUAGUGGGGGAUAGCCCGGCGAAAGCCGGAUUAAUACCGCAUACGAUCCACGGAUGAAAGCGGGGGACCUUCGGGCCUCGCGCUAUAGGGUUGGCCGAUGGCUGAUUAGCUAGUUGAGGGGGUAAAGGCCUACCAAGGCGACGAUCAGUAGCUGGUCUGAGAGGACGACCAGCCACACUGGGACUGAGACACGGCCCAGACUCCUACGGGAGGCAGCAGUGGGGAAUUUUGGACAAUGGGCGAAAGCCUGAUCCAGCAAUGCCGCGUGUGUGAAGAAGGCCUUCGGGUUGUAAAGCACUUUUGUCCGGAAAGAAAUCCUUGGCUCUAAUACAGUCGGGGGAUGACGGUACCGGAAGAAUAAGCACCGGCUAACUACAUG
RNAcentral lists this ribosomal RNA (486 nucleotides) under uncultured bacterium. RNAcentral describes it as "partial 16S ribosomal RNA". It matches the Rfam family "Bacterial small subunit ribosomal RNA", at positions 30 to 507 of the family's 1533-position model. The record is from RNAcentral.